AAAGUCGUAACAAGGUCUCCGUUGGUGAACCAGCGGAGGGAUCAUUAUAGAGUUCUAAACUCCUUAAACCCAUGUGAACUUACCACUUUGUUGCCUCGGCAGGACCUCUAGGGGAAAUGCCGGUGGACCAAAACUUAAACUCUUGUUUUUACCAUGAAAUUCUGAAUUUAUAAACUUAAUAAGUUAAAACUUUCAACAACGGAUCUCUUGGUUCUG
RNAcentral lists this unclassified non-coding RNA (216 nucleotides) under Ascomycota sp. Its description in RNAcentral is "partial contains small subunit ribosomal RNA, internal transcribed spacer 1, and 5.8S ribosomal RNA". The stretch from base 1 to 47 matches the Rfam family "Eukaryotic small subunit ribosomal RNA", at positions 1785 to 1831 of the family's 1831-position model. The record is from RNAcentral. Lineage: Eukaryota; Fungi; Ascomycota.